AAUAAUAAUAAUAAUAAAAAAGUUAGAUAGGCAGAAGGCAGAAAAACUGGUUUACCCAUCAGCUGUGGAGAUGCAGUAGGACCUGGAGGACUGAGCAAAGAGGCAAACACUGUUUUUCUCUUUCAGUCAUUCUCACUUCUCUUAGAGAAUAUUCUGGAUUUGCCCAUGACUCAGAGGAUGACAUCAGAAAUGACACAUAACCCAUCUGCCCUCACUGAAUGGCAGUAAGAUGUCUCUGCCUCAGGGAGAUGUUGUGAAGAUAGAUUUGUUUUCCUGUAAUUUGACUGUCUGAAAUAAUUUGACUGUAUAAAUGCUAACGAUGCUGAUCUGGAGCAAUCUUCCCACCAUUUCUCGUAAUUUCUGGUGUGUAAAACAGACUGCCUUCCUCAGCUGGAAAUUCCUGUGGGGAGUUUACUGAGAAGUGAAGAGCUCAUUCUCUGCAAGUGGAGUCCCACUGUGCAUCCUGGUGUGUUCAAUUAUGAUUUUUUAGACUGUAUGUUCUCUUUAAUGUGCAUGUGUGCCACUAGGUAGAGCAAGGUAAGGACAGAACAUAGACAUGGGAGAGAGACUUUACUACCUUAUUUCUUGGCAUUUUGAAGUGAUAAUACAAGAAGAUGAUCAGCUGCUUUGGUAGAAAGGAAUAAAUUUACUUCAUUUGUUAAGUUGAUGGAUGAAGGGAUGAUAAAGUUACUCUUGUUUAAAUUCUUUAUAUAGUGGCAUGAUUGAAAGACUAAGGCAGAUGGCAAUUUUGCAAUUGCAACUAUAUAUUUUUCAGCAAAAAAAAAAAAAAAAGAAAAAAAAGUUUUCUAAUUUUCUAACCACUGUUUUUAAGAUGUAUGUAUUACGAAGAAAAACAUUUCACUUAAAGAAACACCAAAAAACAGCAAACCAUGUCAAACUGAUAAUUGAAAAACUAAUGAAUCUUUGUUACUUGUAGGCAUUUUCUCCUGAAAGUCACAUUCCCAUCUUAACUCUCUCUCCCAGGAAGAACUAUGACCAGGAGCUCUUGUGAUGUAACUGCCUUCAUUUGUCACAAUGGGAGAUUGGUAACCAACACUGGAAACGUAUUCUGCAGAAGGAGUACAUUUAUGGAGAAGAAUAUGAACCUGUGGAAGAUGCUUCCCCAGAACCAUGAUAAAGCGGAGUCUCGGAAAGCUGGGUUUGGUCUCAGGAGCAGGAGAAACUACAUGGAAGCCAAAGAAGAAUCAGGUCAGCAUCCCUCACAGACUGUCUCACAAUUCUUUCACUCUGGAUGAGAGUGCAAUGCUAUAAACCAAUUGCAAGAGUAAUGUCUUGUUCUGCUUCCUCUGGUGUCUGGAAUUCUCUGAUAGUCUGAGUGGUAUUAAACAGUGUGCUGUCCUAAGAAUUAAUGCAUGGGAAAGUAAACUUCACGUGGCUUUCUAAACUGGCAUUGAGGUUGAGUCUGUGGAUUAGGGGCUAAUCUGGUACAGAAAACAAUGUUUCUUUUUCUGAUUGGAAGCUACUUUUCAGUCCUUAGACAUAUGUCUGUUGAGUCUGGUCAGUAUGCAUUUUGAAAAAGUACAAAACGAUAAAGCUGACAUCCUAAAGAUACUUUGUAAAGUUUCUGCAACACUGGCAGAGUUAGAGGAAAGAGAAAAGGGAUUAGGAAUAUAUUGUGACUUCAUUUAAGAUAUAGCUAACUAAAUAGCUGGCAAAUCCUGCAAAGGCAUGAAUCAUUUUGCUGUAAAAGACAGACAUAACAUCUUAAUUUUUAGUUGCAUUUUAGUAUCUUGGAAGUGUAUUUUAUUUUACAUCUGCAAGUACAAAUUUGGAUUUUCCACAUGUUAACGCUUUU
Molecule: long non-coding RNA, 1816 nt
Organism: Coturnix japonica (Japanese quail)
Lineage: Eukaryota; Metazoa; Chordata; Aves; Galliformes; Phasianidae
Source: Ensembl